Long non-coding RNA from Oncorhynchus tshawytscha (Chinook salmon), 415 nucleotides. Lineage: Eukaryota; Metazoa; Chordata; Actinopteri; Salmoniformes; Salmonidae. The record is from Ensembl.
AGCAGAGGAGAGAGAGAGAGAGAGAGGGGUGGAGGAGCCACACAGCAGAGGAGAGGAGAGAGAGAGAGGGGUGGAGGAGCCACACAGCAGAGGAGAGGAGGGAGAGAGAGAGGGGUGGAGGAGCCACACAGCAGAGGAGAGGAGAUAGAGAGAGAGAGAGGGGUGGAGGAGCCACACAGCAGAGGAGAGGAGAGAGAGAGAGAGAGAGGGGUGGAGGAGCCACACAGCAGAGGAGGAGAUAGAGAGAGAGAGAGGGGUGGAGAGCCACACAGCAGAGGAGAGAGGAGAGAGAGAGAGGGGUGGAGGAGCCACACAGCAGAGGAGAGAGAGAGAGAGAGAGAGGGGUGGAGGAGCCACACAGCAGAGGAGAGAGAGAGAGAGAGAGGGGUGGAGGAGCCACACAGCAGAGGAGAGG